GAUGAACGCUAGCGGCAGGCUUAAUACAUGCAAGUUGAGGGGCAGCAUGAUAUACGCGAGUAUAUUGAUGGCGACCGGCGGACGGGUGAGUAAUAGGUAGGAGACCUACCUCAUACAGGGGGAUAGCAUAGAGAAAUCUGUGGUAAUACCCCAUGAGGUUAUAUGAAUAGAGGCAUAUAAUCAAAGCAUAAGCGAUUAUGCGGUAUGAGAGGGGCCUACUGACCAUUAGCUAGUUGGUGAGGUAAGGGCUCACCAAGGCGAAGAUGGUUAGGGGUUUUGAGAGAGAGACCCCCCACAUUGGAACUGAGAGACGGUCCAGACUCCUACGGGAGGCAGCAGUAGGGAAUAUUGGGCAAUGGGCGAAAGCCUGACCCAGCCAUGCCGCGUGAAGGAAGACGGCCUUAUGGGUUGUAAACUUCUUUACUACGCGAAUAGAGGUUAGUACGAGAUACUAAUGGAAGGUAGUGUAGUAAAAAGCAACCGGCUAACUCCGUGCC
This 497-nucleotide ribosomal RNA is filed under the name uncultured bacterium. Its description in RNAcentral is "bacterial SSU rRNA". It matches the Rfam family "Bacterial small subunit ribosomal RNA", at positions 28 to 509 of the family's 1533-position model. The record is from RNAcentral.